Lucilia cuprina (Australian sheep blowfly) is the source of this 94-nucleotide small nucleolar RNA. It matches the Rfam family "Small nucleolar RNA Me28S-Gm1083". Rfam says of the family: Me28S-Gm1083 is a member of the C/D class of snoRNA which contain the C (UGAUGA) and D (CUGA) box motifs. This family directs 2'-O-methylation of 28S G-1083. The record is from Rfam. NCBI's taxonomy places the organism in Eukaryota, Metazoa, Arthropoda, Insecta, Diptera, Calliphoridae.
AUUUAAAUGAUGAACAAUUAACUUUCGCCCCUAUCUGAAAGUUUUGGAAACUUUUCAUGUUGAAUGCGAAUGAUUGGUCUUACUGACAAUUCCC